This 473-nucleotide ribosomal RNA is filed under the name uncultured bacterium. RNAcentral describes it as "SSU rRNA". It matches the Rfam family "Bacterial small subunit ribosomal RNA", at positions 26 to 518 of the family's 1533-position model. The record is from RNAcentral.
AGGACGAACGCUGGCGGCGUGCUUAACACAUGCAAGUCGAGCGGAAAGGCCCUUCGGGGUACUCGAGCGGCGAACGGGUGAGUAACACGUGAGCAACCUGCCCUUAGCUCUGGGAUAGCUCCGGGAAACCGGAAUUAAUACCGGAUAUGACCUAGGCCGACAUCGGCCGUGGUGGAAAGUUUUUAGGCUAGGGAUGGACUCGCGGCCUAUCAGCUAGUUGGUGGGGUAAUGGCCUACCAAGGCGACGACGGGUAGCCGGCCUGAGAGGGCGACCGGCCACACUGGGACUGAGACACGGCCCAGACUCCUACGGGAGGCAGCAGUGGGGAAUAUUGCGCAAUGGGCGAAAGCCUGACGCAGCGACGCCGCGUGGGGAUGAAGGCCUUCGGGUUGUAAACCCCUUUCAGCAGGGACGAAGCGAAAGUGACGGUACCUGCAGAAGAAGCGCCGGCUAACUACGCGCCAGCAGCCGC